Molecule: long non-coding RNA, 6692 nt
Organism: Felis catus (domestic cat)
Lineage: Eukaryota; Metazoa; Chordata; Mammalia; Carnivora; Felidae
Exons: 3
Source: RefSeq, a predicted model, not a curated record
GUGAAUAUCAAACAGGGAAAUUAGGUUGGCAUUUAAAGAAUAAUUUUGAUAAGUAUUCUUGAAAAUGUUAUCUAUAAGGAUACUUCUGGCCAAGAUACUUCGUUAAAACUCACAAAGUCCUGCAUUGAAAAAAAAAUUUUUUUCUCCCAGAAGAUUCCUCUUCAUGGUUUCAGGGCUUCAGAAAUGUAGAGGGAAUUUACAUGAUUUGGUGAGUCUGUGAUCUUAACAUCCUCAAUUUCUGCUUACUACUGUGCUUAACCUGUGCUUUAGGGCCUGGAAUUUGGGGAGUUGAGGCUUCAGGCACAGUAAGAAGUUAGAACUGGGGCUCUGGUAGAUGCAGGGGAAGCAUGAUCUGUGAACCUGGUGGAAACAGUCACCAAGGGACGUUGGAAGCAAUAAGUGAUGCCCGAUUCAGCUCAUUUUUUUUUUUUUACCUCUACUGAUAGUUAACUGCCAAAAAUAUUUAUGGAGAGUGGACUAGAGAUAUUUUAGAGUCAUGGCAUAUGCACCCAUGAAGUUGACUUUCUAGGUGGAUUGGUUGAUCCCCUUACCCUUAAGCUAUCAACGUGAUGUCGUAGGAAACCAUGGCAGCUCUGUAUUAUGUAUUAAAGAUACUUGAGUCAGUUGAAUAUUUGUUUUAAAAACAUUUAUAUCAUUCUAGUUGUGAAAAUUAGGAGGAAUAACAGAUUUGGAGAUAAGAACACAGAGUUGUCCUUAGGUCAAGUAGUCUUCAAACAGAAGCUUCUAGACACUGAGGGACAAUACUCCCUUUGUGCAGAGCUGUCAUUUUGAGAAUGCUGAAAAGUGGAGUGCAUUUGAAGCUCCGAUUUUUCUCCAAAAUAAGAAUGUUAGUUUUAUGUAAAAUACAGUUAAGCUUUCAUUCUGUUUUUAAAAUGUUGCCUCAUUUUGGAGUGUGGGGGAAGAAACAGGAAGAUAUGGUCUGAAGACCACGUAUGACCCAUCUUUCUAAUCAGAGGUCUAAUUUUUAGUUUACACAAAGCAAAGCAUCAGGACCAUUCCAUCUCUGACAAAAGAAGCUUUUCAGAACGUCUCAUUCCCACCCAGGAAGAGGUGUGUAAUGGGAGCUACCCCCACAGGGCAAACACCACUCAUAUCCUCAACAGCACUCUUUCAAGGCAACUUGGUUUUCUGUUCUCAAUUGCAAUUUUCUACUUGUUAUCUUCCUCAGGAGAUGCUGCAACAUUUGAAAAGGAAGCCCAGAUUUGGGGGCAGAGGGGUUAUGGAUAUACUCCAUAAAAGUUGCAUGGAAUUGAAUGGAAUUUAAUAAUUCUUGCUAAAUUUUGUGGAAUCACUAUGUGAUGUUAGGCAAAUUUCUUUACAGAUGGGAGAAGCGAGGGUCAUGAGUAAAGUAAGGAAAUUCUAUACCUUGCAAGAUUUUCUUCAGGAGGAAAAGUGUGCAUACGGAAACACUUUUGAAAGUCAACGUUUCUACUUAAUUGCUCACCCUCUGGGUAUAGAAUUUCAGAAUGACACAAAUAUAUAUAGAGAUUAAUGUUUUAGUGAUUGCAGGACAUUACUUUAUUAAUAAAGAGUAUGUUCGUAAAAAUAGGCAUCUGUUAUAUAGAGCUAUUCAUUUUAAAGAAUAGCUAUAAACAUUUUUUUCCACCUUGAAUUGGCCUAUGUGCUCUAAUGCUUGCCCCCACUCUGUGGCAGAACAUAGAUCACAAGAUUAGCAGGUAACUUAAGGUCUCCAAGUUUCUGCCUUCUGGGUCCUACUUCUUUUAAUACUAAUUACAAUUAUAGUUCCAACAACGAUGCUGAAAAAACUCUGGCUACUCCAAUGAUUCUGAGGGGCAUCAAGCACUCUCUUGGUCACCUCUCACUCAAGACCAUGGCUCCCACACCACUCUGCUCAUCACCUCUGUACUUACCCCUGUUCCUCUAUGCCCCUGUCUUCUCCAAGCCAAGGGUGAACUCUGCCCUCCCUUCAUCCUCCAAGGAGAAUGCUGGGCUGAGGUUAGUCUGUAGUCAUAAUUAUCCCUUUGUUAAUUCUCUUCACAAUAUAAAAAAUAGAAACUCACAGUGCAUAAUAGACUCACUGCCUUUUAAGUUUGCAGACUUUUUCUCCUCUGACACCCACUCCCUACUAAGCCCCAAAUUGGUUAAUAUUCCUGCUUAUGCAGGUUUCCCACAGUAAAGCCAUUGAGACUGUGAGGUAUUUAUGCUCAUGAAUGCAGAAAUAACUAGUUUUUAAAAUAGUAAAUGUUUCCUUUGGUAAUUUUUCUUCCAGUUUAUAGACUUUUUGUUUUAUUUAGAACAGAGUCAAAAAGGAAUUACCUGGAUAAUUAUCCUGUCUCUGGUGCCUUUGAUUUUGCAUGUUCCUUAUUAAGUCAAUAAGUUGCAUCCAUUUCAGUGGAGAUAGGUGUCUCAUGGGGAAUUUGGGCUUUGUUCCCUGGGUGUUGAGUAGAGGUGUAUCAAGCAGCUAACCCCACACAGCUGCUGGGCUUGUAAACAGACUUGAAUCUUCUGGAUAUUCAUUUGCAAAAUUUAUCAGCAACCUUUCUAAAUGCUCCCACAUUUCCAUCUAAUUAUCCUACUUUUAACAAGUUUAUCCUGAGUUAAAUGGUCAACAAUAUAACAAGCUAUAUACAUGCACAUGCAUUGUAGCACACUGAAAAAAUUUAAAUCUGGCACUAAUACACAAAAUGAUCAAAUUUAUCUUGCAUUGAAAAAUAGCUGGAAUGAAAUAAACCCAGACUUUAAAAUGGAUGCCUUUGGAGAGAGUUUGCCCCCUCUGUCUGGACUUGCUUUAGUCCUUGUACUGUUUUCUUUUUCCUUGAGCUUUGUCUAUGGUGCUACUUCUUUGUUCUUUAUAGGCCAUUUUAUUUUAAUCCUUGUUAAAUUUGUAAAAAAAACUUUUUCUAGAUUUUCUGGGACAAACCUGUGUUACUUACAGUACUUUUAUUACUUAUGGUAAUUUAAAAUUAUACAUUAAGAUGCCAUGGUCACAGGACUUCUUAGAAGACUUUGCUCUUAUUGACAGAAUUAGAUCCAGGAAAAAUUUAGAUGUAGUUAUUUCCACAUUUUAUAGACCAGGAAACUGGAAUCCAAGUAGUUAGGGACAUGAAACAGUUUCAUGUACACCACUUACGAUGACACAGCUAACUAGUGGCAGAGGUAGGUCUAGGCUCCAAGUAGCUCUCUUACUCCAUAACCUUUCUGAGAAGACCAAGUGUCCUGGGAGGCUGAGAUAUAGCUCAUGUCCCUUCCUCUGGUUGAUAAUUGCCUUUUGCCCCUGAUGAAGUUAGGGGAUUUGGUCAUAGCAGACACCAUUAUUGAAGAUAAGGUUUUUAAGGGUGAUACUGAGCAAGAGUUUCACCAAAUCUACACCUUUGAUUGUUUGUACUAAUCCGCAGACUAGUACUGCUUAUUUGUUCCUCCUGUCCCUCAGCUGGCCGGAAGUAAACAAAAUCAGAAAUUCUGGGCAAGUCUAGUUUGUCCCCCAGAAGCAACCUCUGACCUGAUACAAUGAUGGUUGUGACUAAAUUAGGGUUCAAAUUAUAGAACAGAGGGACACUACAUACUGCUCAAGAAUGACAUUUUAGUUUCUAUUUUGGAAGUGUGCAAAAGUCAAGUCCCAACAGAAAACACCUGGCAUACCCAAAAUUGUACAAAGGGGAACACAAAAGAUAGUGCAUUUCCCCAGAACUGGGAGCAGCUGAUUUGAUAGCAAAUAUAAGCUUGAAGGGACAAGGAGAGGGUGCAGUUCCCAAAACCCAGAAGCAGAGAGUCAUGUAAAAUCUGAUGCCUUAUAGGGAGAAUGACUUUUAGUUGAAGGACACAGACCAAGAAGACCUUACAAGGAAAGAGCUGGAAGAAUAAAUACGUGCAUUUGCCCUUUCCUCUCUCUGGUCUCCACCUCAACUGGAGGCCAGAGGGAAGACUUUAGAAGGAACCUACUCAGGUAAGCAUCCCAGGGCAGAGACAGGAGGCUGGGUUCUGAUUCUGGAGGAGCAGUCAGGAGAUAAGAGCAAAAACAAUGUCAGGGUAUUGGCUACUUAAAAAAAAUAAUGUUCUACAGUUCUGUAGUUAGGUAGGCUGAAGAUAUAUUUCAAGCUGUUGCACUAAUGGCCCCUAAACCUUGGUUGUAGUUUCAUAGGACCAUGGUUCAUGUUUUUCUUCUUUAAAUUCCCUUUUCUAGUACUGUUUUAAAAUGUCCUUAGUCUAGGAUAAGUAUAAAUUAUCCCAGAUUUUAGCGAGGCACAAAAGGAAGGCCUUACAAUGUUGUUGUAUCCCUUUUCCUUUGCCAUCGCUCUGGGUUUAACCAUCAUCUCUUUGGCUGUUAUUUUCCAUUGUUAACAGUUAGUAGGAAUCAGGCCAACAAUCCUAAAGAGCCAGGAAUUCCUGGCCUGGUUGAACAGCCUUUAUCCCUGCUUUGGAGCACCUGAAUCGGCCAUAAGAAUUUAUUGCUAUUUGUAGAUGAAGAAGUAUUUCUACACUGAAUGCAUUUUUAAUGCUGUUUGUUGGAAGAAAGAUAUGAAAGGGGGAGUGACUAAGAAAGGUAUUCUGUCUCUACUGAUGAGAGAGCCAACACUGCUAAUGACACAGAAGAAAACAAGGCCCUUUCAAAACACCCAGACAGUAUAGGAAAUGAAGCAGAACUGUGGUAACACAUGACGAGCAUCCUUAAUAUCCAGUGACUUCACUUACUCUUUCUUUACUGCAAUUCCAGCUAUGGCUCAUCAUGGCCCAGUAAUUCUACCAUUGGAAAGACUUUCCAACUACCAUUGGAAAGAGUGGCAAGACUUGUCUUUGACAAGAUUACAUUUACUUUUCAAGUCCUAACCAUCACUCACUAACUCCCUACCUGCAUCAAGAUUAUGAAUGCCUGGAUGCCAAGGAUUCCAAUUCAAACUUAGAACUUUCUCAUUCAUUGACAUCCCUGCUGCAAUCAGCCACAGUGAGACUCCCAUCAAGAUCUUGGAAGAAAUUAUCACUGUUGAUUCAAAAUCUGAUCAACUAAUGAUCUGAUCAACAUAGAAGCAGAAAUUACCUUAGUGAAAAGGUGAAAAACCAGGGCAAUUGAUAUGCUAAGGUAUUGUACUCCAGUUUUCUGUGAAUAGUUAAUAUCAGUUUAACCAACUAAAUUUAGUAUGAUGAGUCUUAGGGACUCCAAAGUCUAAAAAUGUCAGUAUCUUCAAGAUUGCCUAGAGCAAAGGGCCCUAUCAACUCAAGAAUUGACAUCUCUGAGGCUGGGUUAUACCUUCCAACACCAGGUUUGCAUAGCUGAGUGACAUUAGCUAUGAAGAUAAUUUGAUUCACUUUUCUGGCUCAGUUGUCAUAUUGUUAAUCAGCCUUAUAAUAAAUUUAUAUUUCCACAUAAAUUUUUACACAAAGACAGAAUGGAUAGCGCAGUUGACUUGAUCGCUUCCUUUUAAUUUUAAUCAGUUUAUAAGAAAGAAAAAAAUCUAAUCAGGAUUUUUGUUACUUAAUCAAGUUUUGACCCUAUAGUUUAUAGGAGAAAAUCAACCUUGAAUUGUAUGUUAAUGCUACCUGGUCCAAUUUUCUCUAAGUGUUUGGUCCAAUGUUAUGAUAGGUAUUCAUCAUAAACUAUAAAGUAUUGACAUCAUUAUAAACAAAAACUUUGUCAGUAGAAAAUGCUCAAAACUACUAUCGUCUCCUUACAGUGAUGAGGAGGGACAGAUUGAAAGACUAAAGUCAACAAAUUCAGGGUGGCAGACAACAAUGAACUUGGGUCCUUCAAUGCUGGUGAGCCUCUAAAUUAAUCUUGGAGCCACCUGUAUGAGUCAGGGUUGGGUCAGAGAGGCACACUGCUGAGAAUGCUAGAAUAAAGAUUUAUUAUAUAGAAUCAACCUUACACAAGUCUGGGCAUUUGUAAAGAAGUCCAUGUCAGGCUGACCCCUCCGCAUCUGGGGAUGUACCUUAGGUAGCUGUAGGUCAGCUGUGCUAAGUGGUCAGCAAGGAGAGCUGGUUGUGGAGUGAUGAUGAACUGAAAUCCAUAAGAAGAAACUGGAAUUCAUGCCUCUCAGGGCCUCCAAAGGCAAUGACAGGGGUGACCUGCAAGAGAAGCUGGUGCCCAGUACCAUGGAGCCACACACACACCUAGCUAGGACUCUGAAGCUGAAGGAGGGAGUUUCAGUGCCAGCUCACUCUUUUGGCCUGGGGUAGUAUUUGCCAGCUAUCACAGUGCCUGGGGCCAUACCAUGAGCUUAACAGCAUACAAUGAACAGCUGCAUCUCUACCGCUCCCUCUCAAAUGUGGUGAAAAUUUCUCUUGUGACCAACUCCAGUCCAGAACAAACAGAGAAAGGAAAUCCAGGAAAUGUACCUCUCGCUUAGCUACAUUGGCACAAUACAAGGCCAGCAUUCCCCCUAACACUAAACUGAUCAUCUUAUAUGAGAAGCUGUUUCAGUGUUGAAAAAUGCACAGGCAUGUAGUCCACCCAGGUAUAGAUUAGGAGGAUUCUUAUCUACAAGUUCUAAGUACCUGUGACUAUAUGUAAAUUACAGUGUUAAGAGAAAAGUUGAUCAACUCCCACCAUUAGUGGCUAAAAAUAUACUUAUUGUUGGAGGAGUCCAGCAAAACUCAUUAACUUCAGUAAUAACAAUUUACUAACAUACCCUAGGUCUCAUCGUCCAUGUCUUCCAUAAAUGUUUUGCAUUAAAAGGCAAUAGGUAUUUUUUUAACUUGAGAAUUUAAAAGACUCUUUU